This 837-nucleotide long non-coding RNA is filed under the name Zostera marina. RNAcentral's name for it is "long non-coding RNA (ZMAR_LNC005903)". The record is from RNAcentral. Lineage: Eukaryota; Viridiplantae; Streptophyta; Magnoliopsida; Alismatales; Zosteraceae.
AACCCAAUUUUCAGACUAUUAUUGUUCUAUUGAAUCCUCCUAGGAUCUGCCGCCCCCAUCUUCUGCUCUGCUUUUAUUAGUGGUGUUUUCAACUCCUUUCGCCAGCGUGGUGCUACUUCUGCCAUGUAGCUCCAAGUUAUCUGUAGAAGAUCAUCAUCAGAAGGAUUAAUAUUCCUUGAAAAUACUGGAAAAAAAACUCUGCUAAACAGAUCCACGACAAGGACGUACCCUACUCUCUAUUUACAAUAUUAAGCAUAUAUCGAACAGAUCUAUCAUUGCAGAUCAAGAAAGAAAGAAAAAAGAAGAAGAAAACAAGAGGACUUGUAUUCCAAAAAAAUACUAAACAACUCUUUAAAAACGUGUUCUGUGUUUAACAGAUUCUUUAAAGGGACGUUUCUACAUACCCUUAUAUAUUCUUGAUAUAAUUUUUAUUCAAAAAAAAAUUAAUUUCAGAUUUCAUAAUUCUGAGAUGGCUGAACCAGUUGAAACCCAACUCAAGAGGCUUCAAAUUAAACAAGAUACAGAGGCGGAGAGAAUGAGAAAUAUGGAACUUACCUUAGCAAAGAUGAAUAAAUCUUUAAUGUUGCUGAGUAAUCCAAAAAUUCAAACACAAUUGAAUUUUGACCAGAAAUCUAAAUCAAUUAGGACUGAAAUGCCAAAAUUUGAUAAGGAAAAUGUCCAAGGAUGGAUCUACAAGGCAAAAAAAUAUUUGAGAUAUCAUAAUAUUCCUGAUGAAGAAAGAAUUAUUGUUGCUACCUUCAAUAUGGAAGGUGAAGCUCCGGAGUGGCUCUUAUGUGCUGAUAAUAACAAUGCCCUGAAGUCAUGGUCUGAUUUUCU